This 253-nucleotide ribosomal RNA is filed under the name uncultured bacterium. Its description in RNAcentral is "partial 16S ribosomal RNA". It matches the Rfam family "Bacterial small subunit ribosomal RNA", at positions 524 to 776 of the family's 1533-position model. The record is from RNAcentral.
CACGUAGGGGGCGAGCGUUGUCCGGAUUCAUUGGGCGUAAAGCGCGCGCAGGCGGCUCGGCAAGUCGGGUGUGAAAACUCGGGGCUCAACCCCGGGCGUGCAUCCGAUACUGCCGGGCUUGAGGCAGGUAGGGGAGAUCGGAAUUCCUGGUGUAGCGGUGAAAUGCGCAGAUAUCAGGAGGAACACCGAUGGCGAAGGCAGGUCACUGGGCCGCAACUGACGCUGAGGAGCGAAAGCAUGGGGAGCGAACAGG